This 432-nucleotide ribosomal RNA is filed under the name uncultured fungus. RNAcentral describes it as "eukaryotic LSU rRNA". The stretch from base 66 to 219 matches the Rfam family "5.8S ribosomal RNA". The record is from RNAcentral. Lineage: Eukaryota; Fungi.
CCCGCCCGAGGACCCUAAACUCUGUUUUUAGUGGAACUUCUGAGUAAAACAAACAAAUAAAUCAAAACUUUCAACAACGGAUCUCUUGGUUCUGGCAUCGAUGAAGAACGCAGCAAAAUGCGAUAAGUAAUGUGAAUUGCAGAAUUCAGUGAAUCAUCGAAUCUUUGAACGCACAUUGCGCCCGCCAGUAUUCUGGCGGGCAUGCCUGUUCGAGCGUCAUUUCAACCCUCAAGCUCAGCUUGGUGUUGGGACUCGCGGUAACCCGCGUUCCCCAAAUCGAUUGGCGGUCACGUCGAGCUUCCAUAGCGUAGUAAUCAUACACCUCGUUACUGGUAAUCGUCGCGGCCACGCCGUAAAACCCCAACUUCUGAAUGUUGACCUCGGAUCAGGUAGGAAUACCCGCUGAACUUAAGCAUAUCAAUAAGCGGAGGA